This 505-nucleotide ribosomal RNA is filed under the name uncultured bacterium. RNAcentral's name for it is "partial 16S ribosomal RNA". It matches the Rfam family "Bacterial small subunit ribosomal RNA", at positions 28 to 507 of the family's 1533-position model. The record is from RNAcentral.
GACGAACGCUGGCGGCGUGCCUAAUACAUGCAAGUAGAACGCACAGUUUAUACCGUAGCUUGCUACACCAUAGACUGUGAGUUGCGAACGGGUGAGUAACGCGUAGGUAACCUGCCUGGUAGCGGGGGAUAACUAUUGGAAACGAUAGCUAAUACCGCAUAAUAUUGAUUAUUGCAUGAUAAUUAAUUGAAAGGUGCAAUUGCACCACUACCAGAUGGACCUGCGUUGUAUUAGCUAGUAGGUGAGGUAACGGCUCACCUAGGCGACGAUACAUAGCCGACCUGAGAGGGUGAUCGGCCACACUGGGACUGAGACACGGCCCAGACUCCUACGGGAGGCAGCAGUAGUGAAUCUUCGGCAAUGGACGAAAGUCUGACCGAGCAACGCCGCGUGAGUGAAGAAGGUUUUCGGAUCGUAAAGCUCUGUUGUAAGAGAAGAACGGGUGUGAGAGUGGAAAGUUCACACUGUGACGGUAUCUUACCAGAAAGGGACGGCUAACUACGUG